Molecule: ribosomal RNA, 440 nt
Filed under: uncultured bacterium
Lineage: Bacteria
Description: partial 16S ribosomal RNA
Rfam family: Bacterial small subunit ribosomal RNA
Source: RNAcentral
CCUACGGGAGGCUGUAGUGGGGGAUAUUGCACAAUGGGGGAAACCCUGAUGCAGCAACGCCGCGUGUGGGAAGAAGGUUUUCGGAUUGUAAACCACUGUUCUUGGUGAAGAUAAUGACGGUAACCAAGGAGAAAGCUCCGGCUAACUACGUGCCAGCAGCCGCGGUAAUACGUAGGGAGCCAGCGUUGUCCGGAUUUACUGGGUUUAAAGGGUGCGGAGGCGGGCUUGCUAGUCAGAUGUGAAAUUCCGGGGCUCAACCCCGGCCCUGCAUUUGAAACUGUUGGUCUGGAGUCUCUGAGAGGCAGGCGGAAUUCCUAGUGUAGCGGUGAAAUGCGUAGAUAUUAGGAGGAACACCAGUUGCGGAGGCGGCUUACUGGACGAUAACUGACGCUGAGGCUCGAAAGCGUGGGGAGCAAACAGGAUUAGAUACCCGAGUAGUC